RNAcentral lists this ribosomal RNA (506 nucleotides) under uncultured bacterium. RNAcentral describes it as "partial 16S ribosomal RNA". It matches the Rfam family "Bacterial small subunit ribosomal RNA", at positions 29 to 523 of the family's 1533-position model. The record is from RNAcentral.
AGUGAACGCUGGCGGUAGGCCUAACACAUGCAAGUCGAACGGCAGCACAGGAGAGCUUGCUCUCUGGGUGGCGAGUGGCGGACGGGUGAGGAAUACAUCGGAAUCUACUCUGUCGUGGGGGAUAACGUAGGGAAACUUACGCUAAUACCGCAUACGACCUACGGGUGAAGGCAGGGGACCUUCGGGCCUUGCGCGAUUGAAUGAGCCGAUGUCGGAUUAGCUAGUUGGCGGGGUAAAGGCCCACCAAGGCGACGAUCCGUAGCUGGGCUGAGAGGAUGAUCAGCCACACUGGAACUGAGACACGGUCCAGACCCCUACGGGAGGCAGCAGUGGGGAAUAUUGGACAAUGGGCGCAAGCCUGAUCCAGCCAUACCGUGUGGGUGAAGAAGGCCUUCGGGUUGUAAAGCCCUUUUGUUGGGAAAGAAAUCCAGCUGGCUAAUACCCGGUUGGGACGACGGUACCCAAAGAAUAAGCACCGGCUAACUUCGUGCCAGCCGCCGCCGUAA